AUACGUAGGGUGCGAGCGUUGUCCGGAAUUACUGGGCGUAAAGAGCUCGUAGGAGGUUUGUCGCGUCGUCUGUGAAAUUCCGGGGCUUAACUCCGGGCGUGCAGGCGAUACGGGCAUAACUUGAGUACUGUAGGGGAGACUGGAAUUCAUGGGGAAGCGGUGAAAUGCGCAGAUAUCAGGAGGAACACCGGUGGCGAAGGCGGGUCUCUGGGCAGUAACUGACGCUGAGGAUCGAAAGCAUGGGGAGCGAACAGGAUUAGAUACCCUGGUAGUCCAUGCCGUAAACGGUGGGCGCUAGGUGUAGGGGUCUUCCACGACUUCUGUGCCGUAGCUAACGCAUUAAGCGCCCCGCCUGGGGAGUACGGCCGCAAGGCUAAAACUCAAAUGAAUUGACGGGG
RNAcentral lists this ribosomal RNA (398 nucleotides) under uncultured bacterium. RNAcentral describes it as "partial 16S ribosomal RNA". It matches the Rfam family "Bacterial small subunit ribosomal RNA", at positions 523 to 918 of the family's 1533-position model. The record is from RNAcentral.